Molecule: long non-coding RNA, 6236 nt
Filed under: Triticum aestivum (bread wheat)
Lineage: Eukaryota; Viridiplantae; Streptophyta; Magnoliopsida; Poales; Poaceae
Description: long non-coding RNA (TAES_LNC014567)
Source: RNAcentral
GACUAAAACGCCGUUCUUCGGUACUAUGGAGAGAGCAACAGAUUUGUUGGAAAUCAUACAUACAGAUGUAUGUGGUCCGAUGAAUAUUGAGGCUCGUGGCGGAUAUCGUUAUUUUCUCACCUUCACAGAUGACUUAAGCAGAUAUGGGUAUAUCUACUUAAUGAAACAUAAGUCUGAAACGUUUGAAAAGUUCAAAGAAUUCCAGAGUGAAGUUGAAAAUCAUCGUAACAAGAAAAUAAAGUUUCUACGAUCUAAUCGUGGAGGAGAAUAUUUGAGUUACGAGUUUGGUAUACAUUUGAAACAAUGCGGAAUAGUUUCGCAACUCACGCCACCCGGAACACCACAGCGUAAUGGUGUGUCCGAACGUCGUAAUCGUACUUUACUAGAUAUGGUGCGAUCUAUGAUGUCUCUUACUGAUUUACCGCUAUCAUUUUGGGGUUAUGCUUUGGAUACGGCCGCAUUCACGUUAAAUAGGGCACCAUCAAAAUCCGUUGAGACGACGCCUUAUGAACUAUGGUUUGGCAAGAAACCAAAGUUGUCAUUUCUGAAAGUUUGGGGCUGCGAUGCUUAUGUGAAAAAGCUUCAACCUGAUAAGCUCGAACCCAAAUCAGAGAAAUGUGUCUUCAUAGGAUAUCCAAAGGAGACUAUUGGAUACACCUUCUAUCACAGAUCCGAAGGCAAGACUUUUGUUGCUAAGUUCGGAAACUUUCUGGAGAAGGAGUUUCUCUCGAAAGAAGUGAGUGGGAGGAAAGUAGAACUUGACGAGGUAACUGUACCUGCUCCCUUAUUGGAAAGUAGUGCAUCACAGAAAACUGUUUCUGUGACACCUACACCAAUUAGUGAGGAAGCUAAUGAUAAUGAUCAUGAAACUUCAGAACAAGAUACUACUGAACCUCAUAGAUCAACCAGAGUGAGAUCCGCACCAGAGUGGUACGGUAAUCCUGUUCUGGAAGUCAUGCUAUGAGAUCAUGAUGAACCUACAAACUAUGAAGAAGCGAUGGUGAGCCCAGAUUCCGCAAAAUGGCUUGAAGCCAUGAAAUCUGAGAUGGGAUCCAUGUAUGAGAACAAAGUGUGGACUUUGGUUGAAUUGCCCAAUGAUCGGCAAGCAAUUGAGAAUAAAUGGAUCUUCAAGAAGAAGACUGAUGCUGACGGUAAUAUUACUGUCUACAAAGCUCGACUUGUCGCAAAAGGGUCUCGGCAAGUUCAAGGGAUUGACUACGAUGAGACCUUCUCACCCGUAGCGAUGCUUAAGUCUGUCCGAAUCAUGUUAGCAAUUGCCGCAUUUUAUGAUUAUGAAAUUUGGCAGAUGGAUGUCAAAACUGCAUUCCUGAAUGGAUUUCUGGAAGAAGAGUUGUAUAUGAUGCAACCAGAAGGUUUUGUCGAUCCAAAGGGAGCUAACAAAGUGUGCAAGCUCCAGCGAUCCAUUUAUGGACUGGUGCAAGCCUCUCGGAGUUGGAAUAAACGCUUUGAUAGUGUGAUCAAAGCAUUUGGUUUUAUACAGACUUUUGGAGAAGCCUAUAUUUACAAGAAAGUGAGUGGGAGCUCUGUAGCAUUUCUGAUAUUAUAUGUGGAUGACAUAUUACUGAUUGGAAAUGAUAUAGAAUUUCUGGAUAGCAUAAAGGGACACUUGAAUAAGAGUUUUUCAAUGAAAGACAUCGGUGAAGUUGCUUACAUAUUAGGCAUAAAGAUCUAUAGAGAUAGAUCAAGACGUUUAAUUGAACUUUCACAAAGCACAUACCUUGACAAGAUUUUGAAGAAGUUCAAAAUGGAUCAAGCAAAGAAAGGGUUCUAGCCUGUGUUAUAAGGUGUGAAGUUGAGUCAGACUCAAUGCCCGACCACUGCAGAAGAUAGAGAGAAAAUGAAAGAUGUUCCCUAUGCUUCAGCCAUAGGCUCUAUCAUGUAUGCAAUGCUGUGUACCAAACCUGAUGUGUGCCUUGCUAUAAGUCUAGCAGGGAGGUACCAAAGUAAUCGAGGAGUGGAUCACUGGACAGCGGUCAAGAACAUCCUGAAGUACCUGAAAAGGACUAAGGAUAUGUUUCUCGUAUAUGGAGGUGACAAAGAGCUAAUCGUAAAUGGUUACGUUGAUGCAAGCUUUGACACUGAUCCGGACGAUUCUAAAUCGCAAACUGGAUACGUGUUUACAUUAAACGGUGGAGCUGUCAGUUGGUGCAGUUCUAAACAGAGCGUCGUGGUGGGAUCUACGUGUGAAGCGCAAUACAAAGCUGCUUCGGAAGCAGCGAAUGAAGGAGUCUGGAUGAAGGAGUUCAUAUCCGAUCUAGGUGUCAUACCUAGUGCAUCGGGUCCAAUGAAAAUCUUUUGUGACAAUACUGGUGCAAUUGCCUUGCUGAAGGAAUCCAGAUUUCACAAGAGAACCAAGCACAUCAAGAGACGCUUCAAUUCCAUCCGGGAUCUAGUCCAGGUGGGAGACAUAGAGAUUUGCAAGAUACAUACGGAUUUGAAUGUUGCAGACCCGUUGACUAAGCCUCUUCCACGAGCAAAACAUGAUCAGCACCAAGGCUCCAUGGGUGUUAGAAUCAUUACUGUGUAAUCUAGAUUAUUGACUCUAGUGCAAGUGGGAGACUGAAGGAAAUAUGCCCUAGAGGCAAUAAUAAAGUUAUUAUUUAUUUCCUUUUAUCAUGAUAAAAGUUUAUUAUUCAUGCUAGAAUUGUAUUAACCGGAAACAUAAUACAUGUGUGAAUACAUAGACAAACAGAGUGUCACUAGUAUGCCUCUACUUGACUAGCUCGUUAAUCAAAGAUGGUUAUGUUUCCUAACCAUGGACAUAGAGUUGUUAUUUGAUUAACGGGAUCACAUCAUUAGUUGAAUGAUCUGAUUGACAUGACCCAUUCCAUUAGCUUAGCACCCGAUCGUUUAGUAUGUUGCUAUUGCUUUCUUCAUGACUUAUACAUGUUCCUAUGACUAUGAGAUUAUGCAACUCCCGUUUGCCAGAGGAACACUUUGUGUGCUACCAAACGUCACAACGUAACUGGGUGAUUAUAAAGGAGCUCUACAGGUGUCUCCAAAGGACCAUGUUGGGUUGGCAUAUUUCGAGAUUAGGAUUUGUCACUCCGAUUGUCGGAGAGGUAUCUCUGGGCCCUCUCGGUAAUGCACAUCACUUAAGCCUUGCAAGCAUUGCAACUAAUGAGUUAGUUGCGGGAUGAUGUAUUACAGAACGAGUAAAGAGACUUGCCGGUAACGAGAUUAAACUAGGUAUAGGAUACCGACGAUCGAAUCUCGGGCAAGUAACAUACCGAUGACAAAGGGAACAACGUAUGUUGUUAUGCGGUCUGACCGAUAAAAGAUCUUCGUAGAAUAUGGAGGAACAAAUAUGGGCAUCCAGGUCCCGCUAUUGGUUAUUGACCGGAGACGUGUCUCGGUCAUGUCUACAUUGUUCUCGAACCCGUAGGGUCCGCACGCUUAAGGUUUCGAUGACAGUUAUAUUAUGAGUUUAUGUGUUUUGAUGUACCGAAGGUUGUUCGGAGUCCCGGAUGUGAUCACGGACAUGACGAGGAGUCUCGAAAUGGUCGAGACAUAAAUAUUGAUAUAUUGGAAGCCUAUGUUUGGAUAUCGGAAGUGUUCCGGGUGAAAUCGGGAUUUUACCGGAUUACCGGGAGGUUACCGGAACCCCCCGGGAGGUAUAUGGGCCUUAGUGGGCCUUAGUGGAAGAGAGGAGAGGUGUCCAGAGAUGGGCCGCGCGCCCCUCCCCCCCUUGGUCCGAAUAGGACAAGGAGAGGGGGCCGGCCCCCCUUCCUCCUCUCUCUCCUCUUUCCCCCCCUCCGCGAAUCCUAUUCCAACUAGGAAAGGGGGGAGUCCUACUCCCGGAGGGAGUAGGACUCCUCCUGGCGUGCCUCCUCUUGGCCGCCCCCCCCCCUUUGAGCAUUUAUAUACGGAGGCAGGGGCACCCCCUAGAGACACAAGUUGAUCCACGUGAUCAUAUUCUUAGCCGUGUGCGGUGCCCCCUUCCACCAUAGUCCUCGAUAAUAUUGUAGCGGUGCUUAGGCGAAGCCCUGCGACAGCAGUACAUCAAGACCGUCACCACGCCGUCGUGCUGACGGAACUCUUCCUCGACACUUUGUUGGAUCGAAGUCCAGGGAUCGUCAUCGAGCUGAACGUGUGCUAGAACUCGGAGGUGCCGUAGUUUCGGUGCUUGAUCGGUCGAGCCGUGGAGACGUACGACUACAUCAACCAAGUUAACGCUUCCAUUGUCGAUCUACAAGGGUACGUAGAUCACACUCUCCCCCUCUUGUUGCUAUGCAUCACCAUGAUCUUUGUGUGCGUAGGAAUUUUUUUGAAAUUACUAUGAAACCCAACAGAUCGGACAUGUUUUAGUUGAUUUGGAUCACAUAAUCACUUAGAGGAUUAGAGGGAUGUCUAUCUAAGUGGGAGUUCUUUAAGUAAUAUGAUUAAUUGAACCUAAAUUUAUCACGAACUUAGUACCUGAUAGUAUCUUGCUUGUUUAUGUAUGAUUGUAGAUAAAUGGCCCGUGUUGUUGUUCCGUUGAAUUUUAAUGUGUUCCUUGAGAAAGCAAAGUUGAAAGAUGAUGGUAGCAAUUACACGGACUGGGUCCGUAACUUGAGGAUUAUCCUCAUUGCUGCACAUAAGAAUUACGUCCUGGAAGCACCGCUGGGUGCCAGGCCUGCUGCUGGAGCAACACCAGAUGUUGUGAACGUCUGGCAUAGCAAAGCUGAUGACUACUCGAUAGUUCAGUGUGCCAUGCUUUACGGCUUAGAACCGGGACUUCAACGACAUUUUGAACGUCAUGGAGCAUAUGAGAUGUUCCAGGAGUUGAAGUUAAUAUUUCAAGCAAUGCCCGGAUUGAGAGAUAUGAAGUCUCCAAUAAGUUCUAUAGCUGCAAGAUGGAGGAGAACAGUUCUGUCAGUGAGCAUAUACUCAAAAUGUCUGGGUAUAAUAAUCACUUUGAUUCAAAUGGGAGUUAAUCUUCCAGAUGAUUGCGUCAUUGACAGAAUUCUCCAAUCACUGCCACCAAGCUACAAGAGCUUCAUGAUGAACUAUAAUAUGCAAGGGAUGAAUAAGACUAUUUCCGAGCUCUUCGCAAUGCUGAAGGCUGCGAAGGUAGAAAUCAAAAAGGAGCAUCAAGUGUUGAUGGUCAACAAGACCACUAGUUUCAAGAAAAAGGGCAAAGGGAAGAAGAAGGGGAACUUCAGGAAGAACGGCAAGCAGGUUGCUGCUCAAGAGAAGAAACCCAAGUCUGGACCUAAGCCUGAAACUGAGUGCUUCUACUGCAAGCAGGCUGGUCACUGGAAGCGGAAGUGCCCCAAGUAUUUGGCGGAUAAGAAGGAUGGCAAGGUGAACAAAGGUAUAUGUGAUAUACAUGUUAUUGAUGUGUACCUUACUAAUGCUCGCAAUAGCACCUGGGUAUUUGAUACUGGUUCUGUUGCUAAUAUUUGCAACUCGAAACAGGGACUACGAAUUAAGCGAAGAUUGGCUAAGGACGAGGUGACGAUGCGUGUGGGAAACGGUUCCAAAGUCGAUGUGAUCGCGGUCGGCACGCUACCUCUACAUCUACCUUCGGGAUUAAUAUUAGACCUAAAUAAUUGUUAUUUGGUGCCAGCGUUAUGCAUGAACAUUAUAUCUGGAUCUUGUUUGAUGCGAGACGGUUAUUCAUUUAAAUCAGAAAAUAAUGGUUGUUCUAUUUAUAUGAGUAAUAUCUUUUAUGAUCAUGCACCCUUGAAGAAUGGUCUAUUCUUAUUGAAUCUCGAUAGUAGUGACACACAUAUUCAUAAUGUUGAAGCCAAAAGAUGCAGAGUUGAUAAUCAUAGUGCAACUUAUUUGUGGCACUGCCGUUUAGGUCAUAUCGGUGUAAAGCGCAUGAAGAAACUCCAUACUGAUGUACUUUUGGAACCACUUGAUUAUGAAUCACUGGGUACUUGCGAGCCGUGCCUCAUGGGCAAGAUGACUAAAACGCCGUUCUCCGGUACUAUGGAGAGAGCAACAUAUUUGUUGGAAAUCAUACAUACAGAUGUAUGUGGUCCGAUGAAUAUUGAGGCUCGUGGCGGAUAUCGUUAUUUUCUCACCUUCACAGAUGACUUAAGCAGAUAUGGGUAUAUCUACUUAAUGAAACAUAAGUCUGAAACGUUUGAAAAGUUCAAAGAAUUUCAGAGUGAAGUUGAAAAUCAUCGUAACAAGAAAAUUAAGUUUCUACCAUCUGAUCGUGGAGGAGAAUAUUUGAGUUACGAGUUUGGUAUACAUUUGAAACAAUGCGGAAUAGUUUCGCA